GCCUCUAUAGCUCAGUAGGAAGAGCGUUCGUCUCAUAAUCAAGACUACCACGUAACUCCAAGGAGUCAGCGAAAGGUCAGCAGUUCGAUCCUGCUUGGAGGCA
This 103-nucleotide transfer RNA is filed under the name Nitzschia inconspicua. It matches the Rfam family "tRNA". Rfam says of the family: Transfer RNA (tRNA) molecules are approximately 80 nucleotides in length. Lineage: Eukaryota; Bacillariophyta; Bacillariophyceae; Bacillariales; Bacillariaceae. The record is from Rfam by way of RNAcentral.